RNAcentral lists this ribosomal RNA (356 nucleotides) under uncultured bacterium. RNAcentral describes it as "bacterial SSU rRNA". It matches the Rfam family "Bacterial small subunit ribosomal RNA", at positions 8 to 353 of the family's 1533-position model. The record is from RNAcentral.
AGAGUUUGAUCCUGGCUCAGGAUGAACGCUAGCUACAGGCUUAACACAUGCAAGUCGAGGGGCAGCAUGGUCUUAGCUUGCUAAGGUCCGAUGGCGACCGGCGCACGGGUGAGUAACACGUAUCCAACCUGCCGUCUACUCUUGGGACAGCCUUCUGAAAGGAAGAUUAAUACAAGAUGGCAUCAUGAGUUCACAUGUUCACAUGAUUAAAGGUUUUCCGGUAGACGAUGGGGAUGCGUUCCAUUAGAUAGUAGGCGGGGUAACGGCCCACCUAGUCUUCGAUGGAUAGGGGUUCUGAGAGGAAGGUCCCCCACAUUGGAACUGAGACACGGUCCAAACUCCUACGGGAGGCAGAA